GCGGAUGUGGCGGAAUUGGCAGACGCGCUAGAUUUAGGCUCUAGUGGAUUACCCCCGUGCAGGUUCAAGUCCUGUCAUCCGCA
Molecule: transfer RNA, 83 nt
Filed under: Hydrogenoanaerobacterium saccharovorans
Lineage: Bacteria; Bacillati; Bacillota; Clostridia; Eubacteriales; Oscillospiraceae
Rfam family: tRNA
About the family: Transfer RNA (tRNA) molecules are approximately 80 nucleotides in length. Their secondary structure includes four short double-helical elements and three loops (D, anti-codon, and T loops).
Source: Rfam by way of RNAcentral